This 491-nucleotide ribosomal RNA is filed under the name uncultured bacterium. RNAcentral describes it as "partial 16S ribosomal RNA". It matches the Rfam family "Bacterial small subunit ribosomal RNA", at positions 28 to 507 of the family's 1533-position model. The record is from RNAcentral.
GAUGAACGCUGGCUACAGGCUUAACACAUGCAAGUCGAGGGGAAACGACGGGGAAGCUUGCUUCCCCGGGCGUCGACCGGCGCACGGGUGAGUAACGCGUAUCCAACCUGCCUCUGACUGAGGGAUAACCCGUCGAAAGUCGGCCUAAUACCUCAUGGUAUCGUCUGCGGGCAUCCAACGACGAUUAAAGAUUUCAUCGGUCAGGGAUGGGGAUGCGUCUGAUUAGCUUGUUGGCGGGGUAACGGCCCACCAAGGCUACGAUCAGUAGGGGUUCUGAGAGGAAGGGCCCCCACAUUGGAACUGAGACACGGUCCAAACUCCUACGGGAGGCAGCAGUGAGGAAUAUUGGUCAAUGGGCGAGAGCCUGAACCAGCCAAGUAGCGUGCAGGAAGACGGCGCUAUGGGUUGUAAACUGCUUUUAUGCGGGGAUAAAGUGAGGGACGUGUCCCUCAUUGCAGGUACCGCAUGAAUAAGGACCGGCUAAUUCCGUG